Centruroides sculpturatus (bark scorpion) is the source of this 2932-nucleotide long non-coding RNA. RefSeq lists it as uncharacterized. The record is from RefSeq and is a predicted model, not a curated record. Lineage: Eukaryota; Metazoa; Arthropoda; Arachnida; Scorpiones; Buthidae. The transcript has 4 exons.
ACAGAUACGUGAGCCAUUCACAGCCCGGCGCACGUAUUUGUAAAAUCUAAGUGGCUCGUACAACAUGAUAUUCAUAUAAAACGGAAUUAUCAAGUGUUAUAGGGGGUCGACUGUAUAUUGUCAACAGGCGUUGGCUUUAAUAGGAAAGGAAAUCGUUCGAAUAACUGCAGACUCUUUAUUAUCGUACUUGCCGUUUCGAGUGACUGAAACAGUUCAAUUCUCUUUUAGCACUGGAAAGUGAUAGUGCUGUGGCUUUUAAUUGUGAAAAGGAUGGAUGAGUCUAUGAUAUAAUUGUAGAACAGAAGGACAAUGUAUUACACUUGAAGAAAAGCAUUCAGGGAUAUGUAUAGCUAUUAAAUUGUUUGUGAUCAAGUGAUUUUAAGUCGCCAUUAUUUUACCAAAACAACACUUGCGUAAGAUUGGAAUGAAAGCUUUAUGGAUAAAUGUUUCAUCUAUACAUUCAUCAUCUAUAAACAAAUUAAAAUUAAAGAAAGGGUCUUAGAGUAUAAAUGGAUGCACUGCUUUCAGCUGUACAAAUCGUAGCAAGAAAGGAUUUUUGACAAAAGUUUUUUGAAACAUUUUGCAUGUUAUAAACUUUGGGAAAUGAAAGUGAAAAGAGAAAACUGGAAAGCAAAUGAUGGUAGGUAGUAUGAAGUACAUUUUUGCCUGACGAUUAGGGGAAAAAACUAGAGAUGGUACUAGAAAAUGCUGUUUCUUCCAUAUUUUCUUACACACCACCUGAAAAGUGUAGAAAGACUCCGGCAGUAAGAAACCUACUUCCUCCAAAUACCUGUAAACCUUUAAAAGAAGAUGCAAGUUCUGAUGAACAAACAUAAAAUUACAAAACAACAACAACGAUUUUCAACACAACAAUUCUACAAUAUCUAGUGAAGAUUUCAGUUCUGAGAAAUGCAAAGAUAAGGAUAAAAUAAUUUUUAAAUUAUACUUUAAAUUAAUUAAUGUUCAUAUAAGAUUACUUAACAAUAGAAUAGAGAAAUUUAGAAAUUAUUAAAAUGACUGGAAAUUUAAAAUAUGAAACUAGAUUAUUGUACAAAGUUAUAAAUUUUAUAAAAUAAAAGUCGACUUUAUUGAAACCGAUAAAGAAAAGUAAUGUGUUUUAAUUUUGGACGAUACAACACUAAAUCCAAGAACUGAUUAUGACACAAGUACUAAUACAUAUUAUGAUGAAAUAACAUUACUAAAUCAUACAGGUUUGGCUAUUCAUUCACUAGUCAUUACGUUGGGUGGUAGAAACACACAUUGCAUACUAUCAUUCUAGUAAUGUUCUUUUUAUUAAUCAGGUACAGUGAUGUGUACAUAUCCAUUACCACUUGGCACAACUGGUUGGCAAACUAAAUACUGUCAUCAUUGUAUAAAGAUGUUAAAUGCACAUAACAGUAAAUAAAUGGUAUGUGGACUCUGUCACUACUUGCAACGCGUGGGACUUAUCACAAUAAAGGGUUGGGUAGUUUCCCAGAAAACCAACAAUGUUCAAUAUAAUUUUUGUACUAUGGUCCAUUUGAAAUAUAAGUCUAUAAAAGUUUUGAAAGACCUGUAGAUUUCUACGUCUUGCAGGAGAAGGUUUUUAUUACAUGGCCAAUUUUAGUCUACAAUAUGUUUGUAGCCUAAAAUUUGCCUUUAGUCCUUUCUUUUUUUGAGUGUAGGGCAGUUGAACAGGUAGCGGUCACUUCCAUCCCAAAUAGAGCACUUAUCACCACAAUUUUGAACAUUUGUAAGUAGCUUUGGAAGCAGUCAUGGUUCAUUAUAAAUUGGAUUAUAUUGUGAUCGAAUUUGAGCUAAUUGUAGAUACUUUUGAUGUAUGAUAUGGAUAUUUAGCAAUACAGUCUUCCACUUCAGUGGCAAUUGCCAGCAGUUCUGCUUGUGUAACACUGCAUGUAUCAUCUAAUUUGAGAAGUUGCUCUUAAUUUCUGUAUAUAUAUGAUAUAUUACAUAACUGGCACCAACUUUAUUGUUGAUUAUAGACCCAUCUGUGUACAUGUCUAUAUGAUUGUCCGUCAAUGGUUCAGAGUAAAAAUAUUUUGUUUUACUUGGGUUCUGGAUAAGUGCAUAAGGGAUCUUUCAUUUGAAAUCAUCAUUUUUAAGUUUGUCAUCCUUUAUCGUGUUUCAGUUUCCAUUUUAAUGUAUGGUAUUUGAUUUAGAGAUCCAUGGAGGCUUUUCUAGCAAUUAUCUGGAGGCUGUUAGUAGGAGUUAUUCUGUAACCUUUAAUGAGAUUCAAUAAUGCUUUCCUUUGGCCUGAAAUUAGUUUCUUUUUAUUAUAUAUUUUGUGCAUGGCUUAUUCCCAAACCAGACAGGCAUAGGUAAUUAUUGGUAUAAAUGUCAUUAUAGAUUGAGUCCAUAGCAUGAGAGUUCAAGCCUCCAGUUGCUUUUACCAACCUUAAAGAAAGAUUGAAAGAUUAAACCUGUUUUCUUACAAAUGUUCUCAAUAUGUGUGGUCCAAAGUAGCUUAAAGUCAAGUGUAAUCCCUAAAUAUUUAAUGUUUUUCUCUAUUUUUAUACUUUCCGAUACCAUCUGAAUUGUCUGUACUCUCUUGUACAAGUGUUGAGCACCUAGCUUGUUCCAGACAAUUCCUGUGUUUUUCCUGGAUUGAAGAUCAGCUUGUUUUCCUUCCCCUUUCACUUAUUUUUGACAUAGCCUACUUUACUUUCCUUUCGAGUUAGCCGUUGACAGCAUGAGUGUGUCAUCUGCAAACACAAUGACUUUGUCCUGCCCGAAAUCUUGGGUCAAAAAAUCAUUGAAAAGGAUGUACCAUAGAAGUAAUCCACAGACCGAACCCUGUGGACAGCCUGUUAUACCUCUUCUCAAAAGUAAUAUUUCCUGUUUUGAUGGCAAUAAUUCUCUGAUGAAGGUAUUCUUGGUCAGUAGGUAGAUAUUUGUGGGGAAUUGUAGUUGCAUGAGUCUAUAGAGAAUCAUU